Molecule: ribosomal RNA, 800 nt
Filed under: Alcaligenes faecalis
Lineage: Bacteria; Pseudomonadati; Pseudomonadota; Betaproteobacteria; Burkholderiales; Alcaligenaceae
Also listed under: 1 other name
Description: bacterial SSU rRNA
Rfam family: Bacterial small subunit ribosomal RNA
Source: RNAcentral
CACAUGCAAGUCGAACGGCAGCACGAGAGAGCUUGCUCUCUUGGUGGCGAGUGGAGCGACUAGGUGAGUAAUAUAUCGGAACGUGCCCAGUAGCGGGGGAUAACUACUCGAAAGAGUGGCUAAUACCGCAUACGCCCUACGGGGGAAAGGGGGGGAUUCUUCGGAACCUCUCACUAUUGGAGCGGCCGAUAUCGGAUUAGCUAGUUGGUGGGGUAAAGGCUCACCAAGGCAACGAUCCGUAGCUGGUUUGAGAGGACGACCAGCCACACUGGGACUGAGACACGGCCCAGACUCCUACGGGAGGCAGCAGUGGGGAAUUUUGGACAAUGGGGGAAACCCUGAUCCAGCCAUCCCGCGUGUAUGAUGAAGGCCUUCGGGUUGUAAAGUACUUUUGGCAGAGAAGAAAAGGUAUCUCCUAAUACUAUAUACUGCUGACGGUAUCUGCAGAAUAAGCACCGGCUAACUACGUGCCAGCAGCCGCGGUAAUACGUAGGGUGCAAGCGUUAAUCGGAAUUACUGGGCGUAAAGCGUGUGUAGGCGGUUCGGAAAGAAAGAUGUGAAAUCCCAGGGCUCAACCUUGGACUGCAUUUUUAACUGCCGAGCUAGAGUAUGUCAGAGGGGGGUAGAAUUCCACGUGUAGCAGUGAAAUGCGUAAUAUGUGGAGGAAUACCGAUGGCGAAGGCAGCCCCCUGGGAUAAUACUGACGCUCAACACGAAAGCGUGGGGAGCAACCAGGAUUAGAUACCCUGGUAGUCCACGCCCCUAAACGAAGUCACUAGCUGUUGGGGCCGUUAGGCCUA